GACACAUUCUGCGACUGGGAAAAAAGCAAGUCUUUUCUACCAAUCAUAAAUUAACAGCAUACUGAGCGGGACUGGAAAACAUACAAAUGUGAGGUGUGGUGUCUUCAUGCAAAUAGAAAUCAAAAAGCACAAGAAGGAGUUCUUCUGAAGGACAUUAGUAUGGUGUAAUAGCUGUCAGUCUACAAGAUGUGAGUUUGCAGCUGAAGGCGUGACUGCAAGAGGCAAUUUCCCUAAACCUGCCAGUGCUACAUGCUAAUCACUGGCACAGAUUUAUUGGCAAUGUUCCGGUUUCUCUGACAGAAGAGUCGCCACCACCAGAGGAUCAGCUGACGCUGCACUCAGAAACAG
This is a long non-coding RNA of Electrophorus electricus (electric eel), 348 nucleotides long. RefSeq lists it as uncharacterized. The record is from RefSeq and is a predicted model, not a curated record. Lineage: Eukaryota; Metazoa; Chordata; Actinopteri; Gymnotiformes; Gymnotidae.